AGAACGAACGCUGGCGGCAUGCCUAACACAUGCAAGUCGAACGAGACCUUCGGGUCUAGUGGCGCACGGGUGCGUAACGCGUGGGAACCUGCCUUUAGGUUCGGAAUAACUCAGAGAAAUUUGAGCUAAAUACCGGAUAAUGUCUUCGGACCAAAGAUUUAUCGCCUUUAGAUGGGCCCGCGUAGGAUUAGCUAGUUGGUGGGGUAAAGGCCUACCAAGGCGACGAUCCUUAGCUGGUCUGAGAGGAUGAUCAGCCACACUGGGACUGAGACACGGCCCAGACUCCUACGGGAGGCAGCAGUGGGGAAUAUUGGACAAUGGGCGAAAGCCUGAUCCAGCAAUGCCGCGUGAGUGAUGAAGGCCUUAGGGUUGUAAAGCUCUUUACCAGGGAUGAUAAUGACAGUACCUGGAGAAUAAGCUCCGGCUAACUCCGUGCCAGCAGCCGC
This 446-nucleotide ribosomal RNA is filed under the name uncultured bacterium. RNAcentral describes it as "SSU rRNA". It matches the Rfam family "Bacterial small subunit ribosomal RNA", at positions 26 to 518 of the family's 1533-position model. The record is from RNAcentral.